GUAGUCCAUGCCGUAAACGUUGGGCGCUAGGUGUGGGGUCCAUUCCACGGAUUCCGUGCCGCAGCUAACGCAUUAAGCGCCCCGCCUGGGGAGUACGGCCGCAAGGCUAAAACUCAAAGGAAUUGACGGGGGCCCGCACAAGCGGCGGAGCAUGCGGAUUAAUUCGAUGCAACGCGAAGAACCUUACCAAGGCUUGACAUGCGCGGUGGAAUCCCAGAGAUGGGGUGUCAUUUAGUUGGUCGCGUACAGGUGGUGCAUGGUUGUCGUCAGCUCGUGUCGUGAGAUGUUGGGUUAAGUCCCGCAACGAGCGCAACCCUCGUUCCAUGUUGCCAGCAAUUCGGUUGGGGACU
Molecule: ribosomal RNA, 350 nt
Filed under: uncultured Kineococcus sp.
Lineage: Bacteria; Bacillati; Actinomycetota; Actinomycetes; Kineosporiales; Kineosporiaceae
Description: bacterial SSU rRNA
Rfam family: Bacterial small subunit ribosomal RNA
Source: RNAcentral